This 2904-nucleotide ribosomal RNA is filed under the name Escherichia coli. RNAcentral's name for it is "23S ribosomal RNA". It matches the Rfam family "Bacterial large subunit ribosomal RNA". The record is from RNAcentral. Lineage: Bacteria; Pseudomonadati; Pseudomonadota; Gammaproteobacteria; Enterobacterales; Enterobacteriaceae.
GGUUAAGCGACUAAGCGUACACGGUGGAUGCCCUGGCAGUCAGAGGCGAUGAAGGACGUGCUAAUCUGCGAUAAGCGUCGGUAAGGUGAUAUGAACCGUUAUAACCGGCGAUUUCCGAAUGGGGAAACCCAGUGUGAUUCGUCACACUAUCAUUAACUGAAUCCAUAGGUUAAUGAGGCGAACCGGGGGAACUGAAACAUCUAAGUACCCCGAGGAAAAGAAAUCAACCGAGAUUCCCCCAGUAGCGGCGAGCGAACGGGGAGCAGCCCAGAGCCUGAAUCAGUGUGUGUGUUAGUGGAAGCGUCUGGAAAGGCGCGCGAUACAGGGUGACAGCCCCGUACACAAAAAUGCACAUGCUGUGAGCUCGAUGAGUAGGGCGGGACACGUGGUAUCCUGUCUGAAUAUGGGGGGACCAUCCUCCAAGGCUAAAUACUCCUGACUGACCGAUAGUGAACCAGUACCGUGAGGGAAAGGCGAAAAGAACCCCGGCGAGGGGAGUGAAAAAGAACCUGAAACCGUGUACGUACAAGCAGUGGGAGCCUCUUUAUGGGGUGACUGCGUACCUUUUGUAUAAUGGGUCAGCGACUUAUAUUCUGUAGCAAGGUUAACCGAAUAGGGGAGCCGAAGGGAAACCGAGUCUUAACUGGGCGUUAAGUUGCAGGGUAUAGACCCGAAACCCGGUGAUCUAGCCAUGGGCAGGUUGAAGGUUGGGUAACACUAACUGGAGGACCGAACCGACUAAUGUUGAAAAAUUAGCGGAUGACUUGUGGCUGGGGGUGAAAGGCCAAUCAAACCGGGAGAUAGCUGGUUCUCCCCGAAAGCUAUUUAGGUAGCGCCUCGUGAAUUCAUCUCCGGGGGUAGAGCACUGUUUCGGCAAGGGGGUCAUCCCGACUUACCAACCCGAUGCAAACUGCGAAUACCGGAGAAUGUUAUCACGGGAGACACACGGCGGGUGCUAACGUCCGUCGUGAAGAGGGAAACAACCCAGACCGCCAGCUAAGGUCCCAAAGUCAUGGUUAAGUGGGAAACGAUGUGGGAAGGCCCAGACAGCCAGGAUGUUGGCUUAGAAGCAGCCAUCAUUUAAAGAAAGCGUAAUAGCUCACUGGUCGAGUCGGCCUGCGCGGAAGAUGUAACGGGGCUAAACCAUGCACCGAAGCUGCGGCAGCGACACUAUGUGUUGUUGGGUAGGGGAGCGUUCUGUAAGCCUGCGAAGGUGUACUGUGAGGUAUGCUGGAGGUAUCAGAAGUGCGAAUGCUGACAUAAGUAACGAUAAAGCGGGUGAAAAGCCCGCUCGCCGGAAGACCAAGGGUUCCUGUCCAACGUUAAUCGGGGCAGGGUGAGUCGACCCCUAAGGCGAGGCCGAAAGGCGUAGUCGAUGGGAAACAGGUUAAUAUUCCUGUACUUGGUGUUACUGCGAAGGGGGGACGGAGAAGGCUAUGUUGGCCGGGCGACGGUUGUCCCGGUUUAAGCGUGUAGGCUGGUUUUCCAGGCAAAUCCGGAAAAUCAAGGCUGAGGCGUGAUGACGAGGCACUACGGUGCUGAAGCAACAAAUGCCCUGCUUCCAGGAAAAGCCUCUAAGCAUCAGGUAACAUCAAAUCGUACCCCAAACCGACACAGGUGGUCAGGUAGAGAAUACCAAGGCGCUUGAGAGAACUCGGGUGAAGGAACUAGGCAAAAUGGUGCCGUAACUUCGGGAGAAGGCACGCUGAUAUGUAGGUGAAGUCCCUUGCGGAUGGAGCUGAAAUCAGUCGAAGAUACCAGCUGGCUGCAACUGUUUAUUAAAAACACAGCACUGUGCAAACACGAAAGUGGACGUAUACGGUGUGACGCCUGCCCGGUGCCGGAAGGUUAAUUGAUGGGGUUAGCGGUAACGCGAAGCUCUUGAUCGAAGCCCCGGUAAACGGCGGCCGUAACUAUAACGGUCCUAAGGUAGCGAAAUUCCUUGUCGGGUAAGUUCCGACCUGCACGAAUGGCGUAAUGAUGGCCAGGCUGUCUCCACCCGAGACUCAGUGAAAUUGAACUCGCUGUGAAGAUGCAGUGUACCCGCGGCAAGACGGAAAGACCCCGUGAACCUUUACUAUAGCUUGACACUGAACAUUGAGCCUUGAUGUGUAGGAUAGGUGGGAGGCUUUGAAGUGUGGACGCCAGUCUGCAUGGAGCCGACCUUGAAAUACCACCCUUUAAUGUUUGAUGUUCUAACGUUGGCCCCUAAUCGGGGUUGCGGACAGUGUCUGGUGGGUAGUUUGACUGGGGCGGUCUCCUCCUAAAGAGUAACGGAGGAGCACGAAGGUUGGCUAAUCCUGGUCGGACAUCAGGAGGUUAGUGCAAUGGCAUAAGCCAGCUUGACUGCGAGCGUGACGGCGCGAGCAGGUGCGAAAGCAGGUCAUAGUGAUCCGGUGGUUCUGAAUGGAAGGGCCAUCGCUCAACGGAUAAAAGGUACUCCGGGGAUAACAGGCUGAUACCGCCCAAGAGUUCAUAUCGACGGCGGUGUUUGGCACCUCGAUGUCGGCUCAUCACAUCCUGGGGCUGAAGUAGGUCCCAAGGGUAUGGCUGUUCGCCAUUUAAAGUGGUACGCGAGCUGGGUUUAGAACGUCGUGAGACAGUUCGGUCCCUAUCUGCCGUGGGCGCUGGAGAACUGAGGGGGGCUGCUCCUAGUACGAGAGGACCGGAGUGGACGCAUCACUGGUGUUCGGGUUGUCAUGCCAAUGGCACUGCCCGGUAGCUAAAUGCGGAAGAGAUAAGUGCUGAAAGCAUCUAAGCACGAAACUUGCCCCGAGAUGAGUUCUCCCUGACUCCCUGAGAGUCCUGAAGGAACGUUGAAGACGACGACGUUGAUAGGCCGGGUGUGUAAGCGCAGCGAUGCGUUGAGCUAACCGGUACUAAUGAACCGUGAGGCUUAACCUU